GGUCACGAGUGACAGCGCAAAGGCCCCGGCUCGCUGUCCGGCAACCCUCCGUCCGAGGCGGGGUGCCCCGGGUGAUGACCAGGCUGUGAGCAGCAAGGCUCGCAGCAAGCCGGACAU
Molecule: non-coding RNA, 117 nt
Filed under: Actinacidiphila rubida
Lineage: Bacteria; Bacillati; Actinomycetota; Actinomycetes; Kitasatosporales; Streptomycetaceae
Description: Streptomyces rubidus SAM-IV sequence
Rfam family: SAM (S-adenosyl methionine) riboswitch aptamer
About the family: SAM-IV is a mRNA element that regulates gene expression via direct sensing of S-adenosylmethionine (SAM or AdoMet). SAM-IV riboswitches share conserved nucleotide positions with the previously described SAM-I riboswitches sequence analysis and molecular recognition experiments suggest that SAM-I and SAM-IV riboswitches share similar ligand binding sites, but have different scaffolds.
Source: Rfam by way of RNAcentral